This 63-nucleotide transfer RNA is filed under the name Hilethera xinjiangensis. RNAcentral describes it as "tRNA-Thr". It matches the Rfam family "tRNA". Rfam says of the family: Transfer RNA (tRNA) molecules are approximately 80 nucleotides in length. Their secondary structure includes four short double-helical elements and three loops (D, anti-codon, and T loops). Further hydrogen bonds mediate the characteristic L-shaped molecular structure. tRNAs have two regions of fundamental functional importance: the anti-codon, which is responsible for specific mRNA codon recognition, and the 3' end, to which the tRNAs corresponding amino acid is attached (by aminoacyl-tRNA synthetases). tRNAs cope with the degeneracy of the genetic code in two manners: having more than one tRNA (with a specific anti-codon) for a particular amino acid; and 'wobble' base-pairing, i.e. permitting non-standard base-pairing at the 3rd anti-codon position. Lineage: Eukaryota; Metazoa; Arthropoda; Insecta; Orthoptera; Acrididae. The record is from RNAcentral.
GUUUUAAUAGUUUAAAUAAAACAUUGGUCUUGUAAACCAAAAUUAAGAAACACUUUUAAAACU